GUGUGUCGCUGGGGGAGGCCUGUGCCUGAGAUUUCGGAUUUUCCCGAAAGACCCCUCGCACCUGAUCCGGAUAAUACCGGCGUAGGGAAGCGGCUUUGGCAUAAC
RNAcentral lists this non-coding RNA (105 nucleotides) under Desulfonatronospira thiodismutans. RNAcentral's name for it is "TPP sequence". It matches the Rfam family "TPP riboswitch aptamer (THI element)". From Rfam's summary of the family: Vitamin B(1) in its active form thiamin pyrophosphate (TPP) is an essential coenzyme that is synthesised by coupling of pyrimidine and thiazole moieties in bacteria. The previously detected thiamin-regulatory element, thi box was extended, resulting in a new, highly conserved RNA secondary structure, the THI element, which is widely distributed in eubacteria and also occurs in some archaea. Lineage: Bacteria; Pseudomonadati; Thermodesulfobacteriota; Desulfovibrionia; Desulfovibrionales; Desulfonatronovibrionaceae. The record is from RNAcentral. RNAcentral also lists the same sequence under 1 other name.